This 123-nucleotide ribosomal RNA is filed under the name Oryza sativa Indica Group (long-grained rice). The record is from RNAcentral. Lineage: Eukaryota; Viridiplantae; Streptophyta; Magnoliopsida; Poales; Poaceae.
CUGUCGGAUCAUAUCCAGCUGCUAAAGCAUCCGGAUCCCAUCAGAACUCCGAAGUUAAGCGUGCUUGGGCGAGAGUAGUACAUAGGAUGGGUGACCUCCUGGGAAGUCCUCGUGUUGCAUCCC